Molecule: long non-coding RNA, 7410 nt
Organism: Equus quagga
Lineage: Eukaryota; Metazoa; Chordata; Mammalia; Perissodactyla; Equidae
Exons: 3
Source: RefSeq, a predicted model, not a curated record
UUUUAAAGAAGAUCGCAUGUUUGUUCAUCAUGGAGGAAAGGAAGUUCUUUCUGCUGUGGAAAUGCCAUCCUAUGCAGUGAAGCGUUGGCCAGUCUGGUGAUGGAAAUAGAGAAUGGAUAUAUUGGGUGAAUGGAACAGACAGAGUCUCUGCUCUUGUGAAACUUACAUUCCAGCAAGGGUGUGGAAGGGAUGGAAUAUGAACAAGUAAACAGAGUCAUUUGAAAUGAAAAUCACUUCCAAAUAUCGAGCGGAAUGAGAAACCAAGUAGUCUCCACCUCUACUGAAGCUAGAAGCCAUCUGUGAUGCCUAACCAUAAUAUGUUAAAAUGGAAAGCAGAUAGAGAAGUUGAUGGAGAAGAGAGAACCAAGUUAGAAUGAAGAUGAGGUGCUGCAGUAAAAAUAUGUGGAUUAAGUGAAAGCCUUUGUGCCCGAACAGUGGGCUCCCACCUGCCAUGCACUUUCUUUGCCUAGCUCCCAGAAUGCACCAUUGGGCUGAUAACCCAUAAGUUGGAGGUGAAGAGGUGGACAAUCCCUUUCUGGAGAACCUGGAAUCAGAGAAAAUACUAAGGAACACACUAAAAAGCUGUUUUUCCAUCUGAUUACCCAUCAGUCAACAAGGUCUCUCAGGUAAAUGGAACCUCCAGUCAAUUAUUUUGAGGGUGUUGCAUUCCUAAGUAUAAACUGGCUGCAAAGGAUUCACCGAUUUUAAAAGAAAACCUCCACUAAGAAAGACAGAGACCAAACAAGAAAUCAGAAGUGAAGAAAUUUUGAAAUAGAGAUAAUGCAAGGAAUAAGAGAAAAUGCCACAAUAUUAUAAUUAAUAUUCACAGAGAGAUGAAAAUGUCUUGCAUGCAUGGAGCAAGAGCAGGUUACUAUUGCUUUUAAGUUUCAAUCAAAGAACAAACAAGAAAGAACUCUAUGAACUCAAAGUAGGGUUGAAGAAAUAAUAAAUGAAAUUUAAGGAUUAGAGGUAUGGUUGAAGAAAUUACCUCAGUAAAUAAACAAAAAGACUAAAAGAUAGAAAGAAAAUAUUUUAAAAGUUAUAAGAUCUGGCUGUGAAGUCUGAUGUCUGACUAGCCAACCUUCUAGAAAGAAAGAAUAGGGAAAACAUAAAAUGGAGGAAUGAAAUUUAUCCGGAAAUAACAUAAGGACGAAUUCCAGAACUGAAGGACAAGAGUUUUCUCAUGUGGGUUGAGAAGACCCACUCAGAGUUGAGCACAGUGAAUUUUAAGAGGCUCCCCUAAGGCUUGUCAGCAUGGUAUUCCAGAACACCAAAGACAGAGGACCCAAAAACUUUUUGAGAGAAAACAAGACAUCAUGUCACACAGAAAGGACUGGGAGGAAUGACAGAAUUGGAUUGUUAACACUGGGAGAGAGAAGCUACAGUCUUUAACACACUGAGUGAUGAUGCAUUUACAACCUAGAAUUUUAUAUCCAGCCAAAAUAUCAAGUGUUGGGGUAGAAUCAAGACGUCUCACAGACAGAACACUUACCUCCCAGGGACCCUUCCCCAGGAAGUGAUUAGAGGGUGUGCUUCAUCAAAGAAGGAAAUUCUGGAUCCAGGAAACAAAUCUAACACUUGAAAAAAGCAAAGAGAAUUCCAGGAUAAGGUAAUAUUAACAGCCGUACAUCAGUCCUAAAGGGCAAGUGGUCCAGAGGGGAGCAGGGGGACAGAGGGGUCCAGGAGGAGGGUCUCCAGGAGAAAAAAAUUAAACCAACAGAUGAUCUGAUAUAUUCACACAUGGAUGAUUCUAUUAAGAAGCUAUUGGAGGAAAUGGGAAGAAAUUUAAAUAGAAAUUUUUUAAAAAACUAAGAAAAUGAAAGAGUGAAACAGACGUUCUAAGAAAAGAUACAUUUUCCAAAAGAGAAGCGUAAUUAUGACACUCUGCUAGACUUAACAGUGAAGGAUAUUGGUAUUGUCAAAAUAAUGAAGACAUUGGGGGUCAGUCCUGUGGCUUAGUGGUUGGAUUCGCACACUCUGCUUAAGUGGCUUGGGGUUUGACGGUUCGGAUCCUGGUGCAGACCUAUAUACCACUCACUGAGCCACGCUGUGGCAGUGGCCCACAUACAAAAAAUAGGCAAAGAUUGGCACAGAUGUUAGCUCAGCGACAGUCUUCCUCACACAGACACACACAAAAUAAUAACAGUAAUAAUAAUGAAAACAUUGGAUACUGCUUUACCUGGGAAAUUUUAUAUGAUCCUGUUGAGAAGAUCUGAGGGAGAGAGGGCAGGGCAGGGGCAUGUGUGUGUUUGAGAGAAAGAAAGCCAAAUCCUUUUUUACCAAAGUAGAAAGGCAGUAUAAAAAGCCUAAAAUUAAUGAAUCAAGAGAUAGCAGUAUCAUCAUAUUAUCUGUUAGAAAUGCGGAGGUUAACACCUGAAGAAACCCCCAAAAGAAUUAAAAGUGAUGCUUCUGGAGAGGUGGAAUGGGGUAAAUAGCAAAAAAUGUUUUCAUUAUAGACCUUUUACCAUUAUUUGACUAUUUCAAUUACGUGCCUAUAUUACUUUGAUAAACUUAUACUAGGCUUAAAGUAAGAGAAAUAACAGCAUAGGUAUUUCAAAAUAGUGUAGAAACUUCUCAUUGUCCUCAACCAUCCCUAUCUCUUUCUUCUUCUGAAAGAGAGCCCCAGUUUUUCACUGGACAUUUGUCCACCUAGAAUAAAGUCCCUUGCAGCUAAAUAUGGCCAUGUGACUAAAUUCUGGCCAACCGAUUGCAAGCAGAAGUAGUAUAUCCAAUUUCUGAGAUGUGUCCUUAAAGGAAGUGGCCCUGUUUUUGGUACCUCCUACUUCCUGCUGGAGCUCCAGGAGCCAUGAUGGUUUUGGAAUGGGCUACACAGGGCAGAGGAACAACGUAGAGGGGGCCUGGGUUUUUAUUACUGUGCCAUGCCCUGGAUUGAUGACUUCCAGACUCCUGGAAAUGCUGUAGACAUUCGUUGUAUUUUUUUAAAAACCAUUGUUACUUUGGGGCUGUUGAAUACAGACAAAUUUAAACCCAACUAAUGCACUGGGGCCUGUCAAAAGCCAUAGCAGAGGUGUGAGAAUAACUGGAUUUGGGGAACGCUGACCUGGAGUGCAGGAGUGAGAAGACAGGAGAGGGACAGGAAGGCAGCAGGGCAGAGCCCUUUCUUGGGGAGCAAGAGGAGUCAUUUAAGCGGAAGGCUGGUGCUUUAUAAUCUGGGAAGCCUCAUUCAAGAAGGUAAGGUGGCAUUCAAGGGAGGAACUGCUCAUUAAGGGUCCGUCAGUGUGACUCACCCUCACGGUGCUUUAGGGGCUCAGUCCUGACCCGGAAGUUACCUGCGGUCUCAAAGGAUUCCUGCUGGGUACCCAUAUGACUCUCCUAACGAUGGUGGCCACUGACUGAGCCAGGCAUGCUGCAUCCUCUCACUGCAUCCUCAGACAACCAGCCAUAUGAUGUUAGCACGUCUAUUAACAUUCCUAUUUCACAGAAGAGGAAACUAAGAUUCCAAGAGGUCGUGCAAGUCCCCAAGGUCAUACAGGGAGAAUGACUGUCUGGCUGAGCUUCAAGACCCGAGGCAGACGGUAAAGUGCUGAAUCUGAGCUUCGAACAAAGGAAGAAGAGAAAAUCCUAGCUUGAUGGAGAAGCAAGUGUUUGAGCUGGGUCCUAAACGGUCUGAAAGGUGAAGUUGAAAAUAAGAAGAAUUCUAAGUCUUUGGAACAGUGUAAACAAAAGGAUGGAGCCUGGAAAACACCAGGCUGGCUUGGGAAACUGGGAGUGAAUGAAUCUAGCUGGAGGAGAGAGUGUGGUGACGUCCUGGGGGAUGAGGCUGGAAAUGCAGGGUGGGUACCAGGUUGCAGCAGCCUCGAGGGCAGGUUAGAGGUAUAUUUUGGGUGAGUGUCAGGGAAGGUUUGUCUGUCUGCUUGAUUCCUUUUGUUUUUUAUUAAACCCAUCAGAUGCCUGCAGAAUAUUUAGAUGGAAUGUGGAUGCUCCUCCAUGAGCAUGUAUGAAGGCCACCCGUCCAGUGGCCUGCUUGGCCCCAUCCCAUCAUGGCCCCAUUCUGGCCCUGGUGGCAGGAUGACCAAGGGGGCCGCUGGGAUGUUUCCACUCCUGCCUUAGAGAAUCCAUCCCUCUAGGAAAUGCUUCCCGGCAGAUUAAUGCUCAGAUGGUGCAAGGACUCACCAAAUACGUAUAUAUUAUAAAAAUGUUUUCAUGAAUUCAUCACCAUUUUAUUUGUCAUGAAAUUUUCCCUCCUGUCCAUUUCCUGGCGGGUAGGACAAACAGUGUGAGAACUGGAACCAGGUUCUGGGAGGGGCUUUUAUUGCCCCGAAAUCGGGAAAGGGUGCGUCUGGUCCCUACAUUACCUCAGGCUGUGCAGCCGCGACCCAUCUCUGGAGCAAUUUUACUGAAGCCUCUUCCCUCUUGGUUGCCAGCUUCCAUCUGGGCAACGGCAGGUGGUUGGACAGAAGCUUUAAUUGCACUUAAAGAAUUAAAAGAUGAGCUAGGCAGAAAACGAUGGAACUGGCCCAGGGAGAGGUCCGUGCUGGUGCUGGGGGCAGGGGAGUGAAGCCUCUGAUUGUGUCUACACCAGACUGGCUGCCUGGUGCGCUGCAGACAGGGGAGCCUCAGAUGGGGCAUGCUGAGAAUGAGAAUCCCCCUGUGGCCCUUGGGGUGCCCCAAUCCUUCAACAGUCCCUUUUCUUCAGUAUCCAGAUAAAAAGGCUUGAGCAUCCACCACUGAGAAAAGGCCGGGCUCUCACCGAGAGGUCUGAGGACUCCUGACGAUGGCGCCCUGUUUCUCUCACUCUGAAGUCACGUGCCUCGCUGGAGCCUCUCUCGGCCAUCUGCUGUUGCGUCCUUCGUCCUUCUCCCGGCUCAGCACUGUUCCCGUCACCCUCCAAAGUGCCAUCACCCCAUCCGCCGUGAGAAGCAAACCCUACUGCACGUUUCAGAAUAGCAGGAGGCAGGCCCACUCUUAACAUUUGGACGUUCUGGGACACCAAUGGAGGCCCACUUACCGGAAGUCUAAGUAUUUAAAAGUUUUAAAUAAAAAAAUAUUGAAAACAUUCUAUCCAUCUACCUUGACAAAUGGAACUUUGCAACCAUCUGAAGGCCCGCUUGGAAUUUAGAAUUCUCGGCUCCUCAGAGUUAGUCCUGCAGCUUGCUCCCUGGGAGGGGCCUCUUGCUCACGUGUGUGGACCCACGCACCCGGUCUCUGUCCACACUCCCCACACCUAGCCUGGGCAUGUGCACACUGUGGUACAGUUAACCCUUGGAGAGCAGUUCUGAGUGACCCUGGGACUUGGCUUGGGUGACCUGGAUGGAAAGACUCCACUAUGGGAGUCAACUCUAGGCCAGUGGUCAGCAAAUGAUGGCCUGUGGGCAAUUCCAGACCGUGGCCUAUUUCUGUAUGGCCUGCCAAGCCAAGGACAGUUUUUAAAUGACUGAAAAAUCACAAAAGAAUAGUAUUUUGUGACUUGUGAAAAUGCUGUGAGACUCAGAUUUUGGUGUCCAUCACUAAAGUCUUAUUGGAAUCCAGCUCUGCUCAUUCCUUUCCAUGUCGUCCUCAGCUGCCUUGGCGCCUCUGCGGUGGGCUCCGAAUCUGCAGCGGAGACUGGCUGUUUGGCGAAGGCUCAAAGACUCACUGACUGGCCUUUGCAGAGACACAGUUUGCGUCACUUGCGGUCCUUCACUAUGCAGCAUCGUUGAUUCUCUCUAGAGCAGCCCAGGCAGCCUCACCGUUAAAAUUUUUAAGAACUGUGGUAAAAUAAACAUAACCAAAUUUACCAUCUUAGCCACUUUUUAGGUCUACAGUUCAGUGACAAUAAGUACAUUCGCAUUGUUGUGCAGCCACCACACCACCCAUCUCUGUAACUUUUCCAUCUCCCCAAAAGGAAACUCUGUCCCCAUUAAACACUGACUCUCCCUUCCCUCUCCCCCUCAGGCCCUGGAAACCACCGUUCUGCUUUCUGUCUCUAUGAAUUUCGCUGCUCUAGGAGCCUCAUCUAUGUGCUAUCACACAGUAUUUGUCCUUCCGUGACUGGCUUUUUUCACUCACAUAGUGUCCUCCAGUUUCAUCCAUGCCACAGCAUGUGGCAGCAUUUCCUUCCUUUCUAAGGCUGAAUAAUAUUCCAUUGUUUGUGUAUACCACGUUUUGUUUAUCUGCUCAUCCAUAGGCACUGGGCUGCUUUCAACUUUCGGCCAUCAUGAAUAACGCUGCUAUGAACGUGGGUGUAUAAAUGCCUUCUCGGGACCCUGUUUUCAGUUGUUUGGGGUACAUACCCAGAAGUAGAACUACUGGAUCAUAUGGUAAUUCUACGUUUAAUUCUUAAGGAACCGCUACACAGUUUUCCAAAGUGAUAGGACCAUUUAACAUUUCACACCCCCACCAACAACAGGCAGGCUUACUUUCUGAAACCAAAAAAGCUCAUGGAGGUAUUUCAGGACAAAAGUGCUACCCAUCUUUUAAAAAAAAUCUAAUCUCUUUAAAGCAGUAGUUUUUGACCCUGAGAAUCAUCUAGGGAGCUUUUAAAAAAUUACUAAUGUGUGUGUGUGUGUGUGUGUAUGUGUGUGUUGGGGGAAAGGGCACUUCAGACUAAUGAAACCAGAAUCCCUGGGGUAGAGUCUGGCACAGGUAUUCUUUCCAUCACCCAAGUCUUUCCCCAGAGCAGCCUGGGUCAAGAGCCACUGCCCUUGGACAACCAGCUUGCCCUGCAGCCAGCUUUUAAAAUAACUCAUCUUUCCUCUUGCUUCAUGUGCCUUUCUGAGAACCCAGCUCCAGGAAGCAAUAGACAUGUCCCUGGACUCAUGAGUGGUGUUGGGCAUGGAGGUGGUGACACAUGGCUUCCUGGUGUGAUAGCGGGUGUGUUGGAGACAGACGCCAUCUGGAGUAGCGGGGGUGAUGGCUGGGAUUGGGCUGGCCACACCCUGUCCCUUCAGUACCUUCCCCUUUUCAGGGACAUCUCUAGGGCCACUCUAUCCCAGCCUCCCUCUGGGGGCAUACCUCCCUGCCCCCACCACACACACACACACACACUAAGCUGGUGAGGCUGGAGUCAUCCUCUCCAUCCCUAACCAGUCCCAGGUUCUGAAUAUUUCUCUCUCAAGUAGUAUUAAAAUAAACAACAGCGUUAGAGUCAGAUAAGAGACAGGCAGAAAAGACUUAUUUUUACACUUUUCCCCUUGAAUCCAAAUAGCCAUUUUAUUCUGCAAUGGUAAUUUCAGGAGCACCGUUCAGCUUGGUUAUCUUCUGAGAGAGGCACAGACGUCAAGAGAGAUUUUAAACAGUGCUUUGGUGAAAUAUAUUGAGGAAAGCCCACAGUAUGUGCUUAAAUGAUCUAGAAGGAUGAAGACUGGGCAGGAUUUUUUUUUCUUCUAAGCAUGGCCCUUGUAGGUUUAAUUGUAAAGUAUAAUUACUUCAAGACAUCAUAAUUUGUUGUGUACAGUAUAAAUCAGCAGA